AUGCAGAGUGGAAAUCACCCUACGGAUGAUGGCAGUCCAACACAGGACAGUUCAAACUUGACUGCUCGAGCCAAUUCAAAGGAAUUAUCGCGGUUAGCAAGAUCGAAAAGGAAAAGAAAACUAGACCUGAGAAGGAGCGGAUCUCCAUCGACCAAAAAUUACUCCAGUGCGGAUGAAACAAAUGCUCUUCAAAGCUCAAACUUCACUGCUGAAGUAAACUCAACGGAACUCGCACGCUUAUCAAGACUGAACAGGAAAAGGAAACUUGACCUUAGAAGAAGCGGAUCUACAUUGAAUAACAGUUCGACCUGUUCAAAUCCAGCAAAUCACAUUGAAAGUCUCAAGAUGAAUGAUCGA
Molecule: long non-coding RNA, 357 nt
Filed under: Oryza sativa tropical japonica subgroup
Lineage: Eukaryota; Viridiplantae; Streptophyta; Magnoliopsida; Poales; Poaceae
Description: lncRNA OsAzu_08g0001510
Source: RNAcentral